Molecule: ribosomal RNA, 253 nt
Filed under: uncultured bacterium
Lineage: Bacteria
Description: partial 16S ribosomal RNA
Rfam family: Bacterial small subunit ribosomal RNA
Source: RNAcentral
UACGUAUGGGGCAAGCGUUAUCCGGAUUUACUGGGUGUAAAGGGAGCGCAGGCGGCCUGGCAAGCCUGAUGUGAAAUACCGGGGCCCAACCCCGGGGCUGCAUUGGGAACUGCCGGGCUGGAGUGCCGGAGAGGCAGGCGGAAUUCCUAGUGUAGCGGUGAAAUGCGUAGAUAUUAGGAGGAACACCAGUGGCGAAGGCGGCCUGCUGGACGGUGACUGACGCUGAGGCUCGAAAGCGUGGGGAGCAAACAGG